This 1009-nucleotide ribosomal RNA is filed under the name Paraburkholderia terrae. Its description in RNAcentral is "bacterial SSU rRNA". It matches the Rfam family "Bacterial small subunit ribosomal RNA", at positions 56 to 1061 of the family's 1533-position model. Lineage: Bacteria; Pseudomonadati; Pseudomonadota; Betaproteobacteria; Burkholderiales; Burkholderiaceae. The record is from RNAcentral.
UGCAGUCGAAGGCAGCACGGGGGCAACCCUGGUGGCGAGUGGCGAACGGGUGAGUAAUACAUCGGAACGUGUCCUGGAGUGGGGGAUAGCCCGGCGAAAGCCGGAUUAAUACCGCAUACGAUCUUGGGAUGAAAGCGGGGGACCGAAAGGCCUCGCGCUCAAGGGGCGGCCGAUGGCAGAUUAGCUAGUUGGUGGGGUAAAGGCCUACCAAGGCGACGAUCUGUAGCUGGUCUGAGAGGACGACCAGCCACACUGGGACUGAGACACGGCCCAGACUCCUACGGGAGGCAGCAGUGGGGAAUUUUGGACAAUGGGGGCAACCCUGAUCCAGCAAUGCCGCGUGUGUGAAGAAGGCCUUCGGGUUGUAAAGCACUUUUGUCCGGAAAGAAAACCUCCGUCCUAAUACGGUGGGGGGAUGACGGUACCGGAAGAAUAAGCACCGGCUAACUACGUGCCAGCAGCCGCGGUAAUACGUAGGGUGCAAGCGUUAAUCGGAAUUACUGGGCGUAAAGCGUGCGCAGGCGGUUCGCUAAGACCGAUGUGAAAUCCCCGGGCUUAACCUGGGAACUGCAUUGGUGACUGGCGGGCUAGAGUAUGGCAGAGGGGGGUAGAAUUCCACGUGUAGCAGUGAAAUGCGUAGAGAUGUGGAGGAAUACCGAUGGCGAAGGCAGCCCCCUGGGCCAAUACUGACGCUCAUGCACGAAAGCGUGGGGAGCAAACAGGAUUAGAUACCCUGGUAGUCCACGCCCUAAACGAUGUCAACUAGUUGUCGGGUCUUCAUUGACUUGGUAACGAAGCUAACGCGUGAAGUUGACCGCCUGGGGAGUACGGUCGCAAGAUUAAAACUCAAAGGAAUUGACGGGGACCCGCACAAGCGGUGGAUGAUGUGGAUUAAUUCGAUGCAACGCGAAAAACCUUACCUACCCUUGACAUGUACGGAACCUUGCUGAGAGGUGAGGGUGCCCGAAAGGGAGCCGUAACACAGGUGCUGCAUGGUUGUCGUCAGCUC